Molecule: RNA transcript, 1174 nt
Organism: Ipomoea nil (Japanese morning glory)
Lineage: Eukaryota; Viridiplantae; Streptophyta; Magnoliopsida; Solanales; Convolvulaceae
Exons: 3
Source: RefSeq, a predicted model, not a curated record
AUAUAAUAGUAUAUAUCUGUAUAUAUGCAUAUACGCCUUGUAUAUUCCGAUUGCGUUGGGGACGAACAGUUCCGAGGAUCGUCAGGCCGUAUUGCCGGAAUUCGUCGCCGGAAUGACGUGUAUUUCGAUGCACAAAUCGCCUGAGUUCUCCGUCGGAGGACGGCGUGGAGAGGCCAUUGUGGAGAACGAUGAUGGCGGCAGUUCUUCGUCGUCCUCUUCGUCUAUUGGGAAGAACAGCGACGAGUCUGCAGUCGGUGGUGAUGCUGACGACGACGGUGCGGAAGUGCAGAGCUCGGCGGAAGAUGGUGCUCUCGGCAAUUCGGAGGACUUGGAGGAGACUUUGCCGUUGAAGAGAGGUCUAUCAAAAUUCUAUAUUGGUAAAUCCAAAUCUUUUACCAGACUAUCAGAUGUGUCUUCAUAUUCCUCUAUCAAAGAUAUUGUCAAGCCAGAGAAUGCAUACACAAGAAAACGCAAAAACGUGCUUGCUUUUAAUAAUUGCUUCGGCAUCAAUAGUAGUUACCAGCACAGUUGUGGGAUUUACAAGAAACCUACCAAUUCUACAAGCUCUCUUGCUGCAACUAUGAGCUGCCCUAUGGGCAAUACUAAAAGUGUGCCUUUCAACUCAAAUCCGUCGUUGCCUGGUUUCUCUCGUCCUCCUCUGCCUUCUCGAAUACAAAGAUCUAGGAACGAGUGCUCCUCAUCACCAUCCUCGUCUGAUCUGCAAGGUGAUGCAGCUCCAAUUCCUAGCAUAACCACCAUAAAGAAAUAGAUAAGAUACAUUAAGUGUAGCUUGAUUUUCUGUCAUCCUAUGAACCUUAUUUCAUAUAAAUGUUCAUGGUGGUGGGAAUAUAUUGUAAGCAGUUUUAGGCUUUCAAGAUGUCGCUGUUGCUCCCUUUGGUUAUUGCUCAAGGGCAUUUUCAAGAGGAGACCUGGUUACUGUUGUUGAAAGUCUUGUUACAAUAGUCUGACUCUUGGCCCCAUAAAGUUGGUGCUUUCUAUUAAACUCCCGGGAGGUUGACAGUUCUGUUUAAUUAUUCAACUCUUUUGGCGGCUUGGACUGUGUAUCAACUUGAUUUUACAAUGGUUGAGAUACUCAAGCUAUUGAAACUGAAAAGCAUUGUAAGCAGAAGUUACCUUUUCCAAAAAGACAGGAUGUGUUGCUCUGCUAAAAAGA